Molecule: ribosomal RNA, 441 nt
Filed under: uncultured bacterium
Lineage: Bacteria
Description: bacterial SSU rRNA
Rfam family: Bacterial small subunit ribosomal RNA
Source: RNAcentral
GCUUAACGCGAAGAACCUUACCUGGGCUUGACAUGCAUGGGAAACCCGGUGGAAACAUCGGGCCUCCUUCGGGACUCAUGCACAGGUGCUGCAUGGCUGUCGUCAGCUCGUGUCGUGAGAUGUUGGGUUAAGUCCCGCAACGAGCGCAACCCUCGUCCCUAGUUACCAGCGGGUCAUGCCGGGAACUCUAGGGAGACUGCCGGUGUCAAGCCGGAGGAAGGUGGGGACGACGUCAAGUCAUCAUGGCCCUUACGUCCAGGGCUACACACGUGCUACAAUGGCCGGUACAGCGUGUUGCCAACUCGCGAGAGUGCGCUAAUCACGAAAAGCCGGUCUAAGUUCGGAUUGCAGUCUGCAACUCGACUGCAUGAAGCCGGAAUCGCUAGUAAUCGCGGAUCAGCUACGCCGCGGUGAAUACGUUCCCGGGUCUUGUACACACCG